Molecule: long non-coding RNA, 320 nt
Organism: Leptinotarsa decemlineata (Colorado potato beetle)
Lineage: Eukaryota; Metazoa; Arthropoda; Insecta; Coleoptera; Chrysomelidae
Source: RefSeq, a predicted model, not a curated record
GUCAAUGUUUCAAAAAUGAAAUAUCAUGAAGAAUUUUAAAACUUUUGUGAAGAGAAUACAGUAGUAAGACUAUUCUACUGUGGACUAUGCGAUAAAAAAUACAAGCACUACCAAUCCCUUUACAACCAUCGAAAAUUUGAAUGUGGAAAGGAUCCGUUUUUCAAAUGUCCUCAUUGCCCAUAUCGUGGAAAAAGAAAAACACAUCUGAAACAGCAUAUGCAGAAGAGACAUAAUAUGUUUUUUUGACACUUAUCAUGAAAGUAUAUCGAAAAAAAUAUUUGUUAGAGUUGACCAAUACAAAGCUAUAUACAUAUUACUUA